RNAcentral lists this ribosomal RNA (112 nucleotides) under Panthera uncia (snow leopard). Its description in RNAcentral is "partial small subunit ribosomal RNA". The record is from RNAcentral. Lineage: Eukaryota; Metazoa; Chordata; Mammalia; Carnivora; Felidae.
CCACUAUGCUUAGCCCUAAACCUAGAUAGUUAGCUCAAACAAAACUAUCCGCCAGAGAACUACUAGCAACAGCUUAAAACUCAAAGGACUUGGCGGUGCUUUACACCCCUCU